RNAcentral lists this ribosomal RNA (502 nucleotides) under uncultured bacterium. RNAcentral's name for it is "partial 16S ribosomal RNA". It matches the Rfam family "Bacterial small subunit ribosomal RNA", at positions 28 to 523 of the family's 1533-position model. The record is from RNAcentral.
GAUGAACGCUAGCGGCAGGCCUAAUACAUGCAAGUCGAGGGGCAGCGCAGUGUAGCAAUACAUGGGCGGCGACCGGCAAACGGGUGCGGAACACGUACGCAACCUUCCUUUAAGUGGGGGAUAGCCCAGGGAAACUUGGAUUAAUACCCCGUAAUAUUAUGAAGUGGCAUCACUUUAUACUUAUAGCUCCGGCGCUUAAAGAUGGGCGUGCGACUGAUUAGGUAGUUGGCGGGGUAACGGCCCACCAAGCCGGCGAUCAGUAACUGGCGUGAGGGCACGACCAGUCAAACGGGCACUGAGACACGGGCCCGAGUCCUACGGGAGGCAGCAGUAAGGAAUAUUGGUCAAUGGACGCAAGUCUGAACCAGCCAUGCCGCGUGGAGGAUGAAGGUCCUCUGGAUUGUAAACUUCUUUUAUUUGGGAAGAAACCCACUGUUUCUACGGUGGUUGACGGUACCAGAUGAAUAAGCACCGGCUAACUCCGUGCCAGCCGCCGCGGUAA